CAGAGUGCAGUAGUGAUGUCCAACAAUGUUUUUUAAUUAUAGACUACUACAUUCACUGAAAACUACUCUCUUAGGGCUGCUUCAGUAAGAUCCAAGUACCCUCAGAGACAACUCAUUUCUAACUGAGAUUGGGAAAAUCCAGCAUUUCAGCUUCUGCAAGUAAUCAGCAGACCUUCUGGGUUGGGCAGAUAUGUGAAGGAAAUCCAGGAACAAAGAUAUCCAGUUGUUCUCCCUUGUCUCAGAUUUCAGAACUGAGUGCUUGGCUUUGUGAUCUAGAAAUGCACAUUUCUUCUAAGAGAGUAGUGAAUUGGGGAGGAAGAAGGAAAAUGUCCCAAGAUGAGCUUAUGGUAUAUAUCUGCUGGAGAGAAUUUCAUUUGAAGAUGUGUAAACUAAGAAUCUUCAUGACUGUUAGCAACCUUUGGAAAACAGUUCCUCAUAUUGUGAAAGGAGGUGUAUUCAUUUCCCUGAGAAGUGAAAGUGGAAAUUAUGAAGAUUUGGAAGUUUGUAACAAACCAUCUUGAAUACAGUUUUUAAAAUGCUGCAGCACUUUCAAACUUGAGCCUAAAUGCCCCCAUGAAGUGUUGUGUGGUACAUAGACAGUGACUCUAUGGCUUUUGAAAACUUUUGAUGCUUUAGGUAGAAUUCUCUCUAUAAUUUUGCCUGGUUUACCUCUGUAUACACCCACAUACCCAUACCUACCACACCCAUGGUACUUUUUCUUAGUAGUAGAGAAGUUAGGAUAGUAGUUAAUCUCUAAAGACAUAAGUAAACUAAGCUUACAUUACUUUCAUACAACUAUAUAAUCUUGGUUUGGCAAAUGUAAAAUUUAGGAUCAAAAAUUGUUUAAGUGUUCUAUAUAUGUCUUAAUUAUGCAUUGCAUAUUGAAAUGCUUUACCCUAAUCUCUUAGUCUGGAUGCUUAGUUGCAAAUGAUGUGUAGGAAUCUCAUUCAGAUUAGCUGGAGCAAAAGUCAUAUUUAUUGUUGCCUCUUUUAAUCACAAAGUCUAGGUGUGGACUUGGUUUUAAAAUGGCUAAAUCCAGGUUACCUAUAAGAGUUCUGUUUACUAUAUAAUUCAAUUCAGCAUUCCCCUAGGUAUCAGCCUCAUUCUUGGGCAGUUACUCUGCAGGUAGUGAUGACACAGCAGCUCCAGACUUACUCAGUGUUUGGAAGUGAAAAUCAGAAGAGGACUCUGGAGUUUAUACAGAAGAUGUCACCAAGAAAUUCUGGUCACCUUGAGUCGUAUGCUUAACUCUUUCACCAGUCCUUAUGAAGAGCAGAAGACUGGCUUUUGUAGGAACCAUACUGGCUCCUGAAUCUAGAAAAAGAAAACUUUGUCAAAGUCUUCAGACAUACAGUGGGGAGAGAGAAUCAAGUCUCUUGUGUAUGUUAGACACAACACAGGGUGUUCUAACAUGUGAGAGGGUGCUAUUAAAGAGCUCUGCAUGUAAGCAUCACUGGUGUUCACUGGCCACAAAGAUACAAAUCUGCUAGUAAAAUACUGCAUUGUUUAUUAUUUCAAAUAUAAUCUAUUUAACACA
Cricetulus griseus (Chinese hamster) is the source of this 1537-nucleotide non-coding RNA. Lineage: Eukaryota; Metazoa; Chordata; Mammalia; Rodentia; Cricetidae. The record is from RefSeq and is a predicted model, not a curated record.